This is a long non-coding RNA of Sarcophilus harrisii (Tasmanian devil), 2577 nucleotides long. NCBI's taxonomy places the organism in Eukaryota, Metazoa, Chordata, Mammalia, Dasyuromorphia, Dasyuridae. The record is from Ensembl.
GGGGAGUGUCGCCAGCAGGAAGCCAUCCCUCGUAGUUCGAGCGCGGCCAGGAUCGGCCGGCCCUCCGUGACGUUACUCAUCUUCCAGGGAUCUCUAGUCUCCUCUCCUCCCCUCCCCUCCCUCUUACCCUCUUUCCUCUCUCCCUCUCCACCCCUCCUCCCUGUCCCCUCCCCCUCUCUCCCUCGAAUCCCUGUCUCUGCACAUCUCUCUCCAUCAGCUUUCUCCGGACCUUCGCCGCCAGCAGCAGCAGCAACAGCAGCAGCGGCACCUCGGCGGCCCAGGCAGCAGGCGAGGGGUAGCCAGCGGCUCCCCCCCCCCCCUCCCCGGGGCUCCCAUCCCCCCUCCUCCACCUCCUCCCGGCCCUGCCCUUCCCAGCUCUGCUUGAAGGGGAUCCCCCUUGUCUCUCUCUGCUCAGUCCCCCCCUGCAGCGCCCCAGGAUCCCAGCCCCCCUCCCUCCGCCAGCCCCCCUACAGAGCCGGAGGAACCGCGCGGCGGAGACAAGGAUGUGACUGCACCCGGCGGCGGAGGGUGCACUCGGCGGCGGCGGCGGUCGGAGUGAAGCUGCGGACGCCCGGGGCUCCCUCUCUCCUCUCUCGCCCUCUCUUCUCCCGCUUCCCCCGGUCCUCCCUCCGCGGCCCCCGGCCGUCCCACUGCCCCGGCCCCGCGCCCCCCGGCUCGCCGCCUCGGGGCUCCCCUCCCCUGCCCCGGACCGCCCCUCUCCGGCCGCCCGCCUGCUCCAGCGCUGACCCUGUCCGCCGGCGGGGAAGGAGGAGGAGGAGGCGGCACCGCCGAACCACCGGGCGAGAACAUGUCGGAAGUGCUGCCGUUUAACGAGGAAAAGCUGGGGCACUAUGGAGACGGGGGGGACGUGGGCCAGAUCUUCACGUGCCGCCUGCAGGAUACCAACAACUUCUUCGGGGCGGCUCAGAACAAGAGACCGCCCAAACUGGGCCAGAUCGGCAGGAGCAAGAGAGCUCUGACAAGGGCAGAGGCUUGAGGGCAGAAGAGGAAAGCUAAGGGAUAGCUGGAGUUGUUAUUGAAGAUGAUAGGAUUGAUGACGUGCUGAAAAAUAUGACAGACAAGGCACCUCCUGGUGUUUAAAGCCCCCAAAGACACUGAGUUAAGGGACAAAAAGAUGAUAAUAAACACAGCAACUUCACACAGUUUAUUGGCAAAAAAAAAAAAAAAAAAAAGCAAUUUGGAAAAAAAAAAAUCUUCAUUACUCUAGCCUGCAGUCCACAAUGCAGACACACCACCAACCUGUAUCUUGUGUCAGGCCUGGGGACGGAAGAGGUGUGAGCAUAGCAAGGACAGAAACAAAAACAAAGAGCAAAAAAAUUUUAAAAAAUUAUUCAACAGAUUAAUUGAUUUACACACACUCAUAAGGAAAUUGACAUCAGCUGCAGCUGUUUGUCUAAAUUAAUAUGCGUUUCCUUUUAUAUACAGCGAAUAUUGCGCAAUUCUAGACCUGGAUUUCCAGCCACUUUAAAUAAUGCAGCAGCAGGAGCAGCAGCAACCGCCUGCCCAGCAAAAUGCCUCUGGGUUCCUGGUGGGAGGGGGGGGGGGGCUGGCAUCCCCUUUGCUGAUCUGGCUGCCCUGAAAGUCAGCCCUUUGUUUACAUUAUUCCCAUCUGGCAAAAACGAUUCUGUGCACUUAGAUGUGAGAUGCUGUCCGUUUCAUUUUUACAGAAAUAUUCAUAUCUUUGAUGUGUGUAAAACAAAACAAACAAACAAAAAAAAACCAGAAAAAAAAACCCCAGAAUGACUUAUAUAUAAAUAUAUAGAUAGUUAUUCUAUUUCGUUUUCCCGCCACCUUGGAAGGUCUUCCUGGGUGGGAUGUGCGUGCGCUCCACUGAACAAAACCAACCCACUUUCCCUAAGGAUUGCCAUCUAGGAAGAGUUUUCUCCUGAUUUCAAUGUGCUGUGAAGCUUGUGUUCUCUGGACUGCUUGCAAGCAAUCCGGACUCGAGUUCACAUGGACGAAUUUGGUGGGGGGGGGGGGGGGAGGAGGAAGGGGGGAAAAAGCCUCCUCUCUGUUGUAUGAGCCCCCACCCCUGUUCUUUCCUCCUCCCGGUGUUGUGGCGAUUCAUCCUCUUCAAUGAAUGGAUUGUACAAAAUGUGAUCACGAGAGUGCCAAAUACCUGGAAAUGCCAAAAGGCAGUUUGGUUUGGUUCCCCCUUUUUGUGCUCCCUGAGCCCAUGUAAAGCAGUGCUUCGUUGGAGUCUCUCUUUUCUGGGUUAUUUAUCGGGCUUUCUCUUAAGGCAGAACCGCUCUCCUUUUUGCAUGAUGUUUGCAGAGAUGCCUCUUGUGCAGGGGCUGGGGGUGGGGGGGUCUUUUCACCAUUUUGUUUUCUUUCUUCUUUUGGGUUUGCAACUUUGGAUGACAAACCUCAAAGAGGUUUCUUUUGCCUUCCCUCCGGCUGCCCCCUUGCCCUUCCCUCUCUCCCUUUUCUUAAUUCAAUAUUGUGUAUAUGGUGCACUGUUAACCACUACACAGGGCUAUUUCUGCAAUGUACAAUAAAAGGGACUGUUCCUGUGUCUAACCUCUGUGUCUUAUUUCGGUGGUCUAUUGGAGCGGG